RNAcentral lists this long non-coding RNA (5158 nucleotides) under Sus scrofa (pig). RNAcentral describes it as "lncRNA (ENSSSCG00050024674.1)". Lineage: Eukaryota; Metazoa; Chordata; Mammalia; Artiodactyla; Suidae. The record is from RNAcentral.
UUUUUUUUUUUUUUUUUUUUUUUUGGUCUUUUGAGAGCCACACCCACGGCAAAUGUUCCCACGCCAGGGGUUGAAUUGGAGGUGCAGCUGCCAGCCUACUCCACAGUCACAGCAAUGUCAGAUCCAGGCCUCUGUCUGCAACCUACAUCACAGCUCAGGGCAACCCUGGCUCCUUAACCCACUGAGUGAGGCCAGGGAUCGAACCUGCGUCCUCAUGGAUUCUAGUCAGGUUCGUUACCUGCUGAGCCACCUCAGGAACUCCUGACAAGAGAAUUUAGGACAAGUGGGUUCUUUGGGGAAGAACUAUCUGCUUUUAAGCAGAUCAGAGAUUUCAGGAACUCAAAUGCAUCCUUCACGAAAUAAUUUUAAUGCCACACAAUAGCUUAUUCCAGACCCCUUUAAGUGUCAAGACUAUAUAACAACAAAGGAGAGAGACUGGGCUCAACUCUUAAUACAAGGGUAAGUGGGGAUUUAUAACAAAACCAAAAAACUUUUGUGCUUCAAAAGGUAACACCAAGAAAGUGAAACUAUCAAGGAGUUCCUGUCGUGGCUCAAUGGUUAACAAAUCCAACUAGGAACCAAGAGGUUGCAGGUUCGAUCUCUGGCCUUGCUCAUGGGUUAAGGAUCUGGCUUUGCCUCAGCUGCAGCUUAGGUUGCGAUUGCAGCUCGGAACUGAUCCCUGGCCCAGGAAUGCCACAUGCCGUGGGAUGGCCAAAAAAUGGGGAAGAAAAAAGAAAAAGAAAAAAAAAAACCUCUAAGAGUUUCAAAUAAAAUCAGAUAUCAAAGAAAAAGAAAAAAAUGAGAAGGAUCUUCACUAAACCAAAAGCAAUAAGCAUAAAGGAGAAGAGAGAGUGUGAGAAAGAACAAAAAUAGUAAAUUUAAUUACUAAUUGGAGAGAGAAGAAAAAACAAUUAAGGAAUGAAAUCAGGAACGAGGUCAAACUUCUUAUGUUAAUUUGGGAGUAACCAACACUGAACAGAAGCCAUAGAAAUAAAUGACAUUAUGUAAGAAAAGCUCAGAAAGGAGGUGGGGGGAAAAAUACCAUGGAGUAAUUUUCCCUCAAAGUGAAAUGUUCCUAUAUAAUAUAAGCAAUUCACACCAGUAAAAUCCAUAAUUAUUAUAUUAGGAAACUAACCAUAAAGGUUAAUACUACUUGAUGAAAAAAAUUAUAAAAGGGUAAUAAUUUCAGCCUCAUUUAAUGUUUUCAAUAAGAGAGCUUUUAAAAGGUUCAGACUAAAAGUAGCAUGGUGUAUUAAUGAGAGGAGAAGAAAUAACAACUUACUGAGUAUCCGCCUAGCCUAUACCCACAGUUCCAAACAUUUAAUGUACAUUAGUUCAUUUAGUCAUCACCCACAACCUUGCAAGGUAAGCAAUCUCCUUCUCUCGAAAGUGAGGCACAAAGAGGUUAAGUAAUUUAAAGGUCUGGCACAAGGACUCUAACACAGAUAGUUCCAGAGCCCACAUGUUUUACCCCUGUACUGGCUCUAAAAGGCAAUUAUUAAAUUUUCAAAGCAAGGAAAAGAAAAAGAAAAAAAAAAGUCUUGCUUCAAAUGUUGGAUCUACCACCAACCUUGGCAUAUUGGUAACUUAAGACAACCCAGUCUGUCUCCUUAGCUGUAAGAAGGAAAUAAUGACAGUAUCACAGGAUUACUGUGGUUAUUUUAGUCAUGAAUAUAAAACAGCUAAUUAUUACCAAGUAAUAAUAAUAAUAAACAUAAUAAUAAUAAACAUACUGGCAUAUAUUAAGACACUACCUUAGACACUUUACAUAGACUUUUAUCUAAUCUUCAAAAUUGUCUCAAAAGGUAUCAUUACUCCCCUAACCAUCUUUACAAGUUAGGAAGCAGAUUCAAAGAUAUGAAGAGAUUUGUGCAUAAGCACGCUAUAUGGUAGAAUGAUUAUAAAAUGGGCCCAAUUCGCCACCCUUCCUGUAUCCACACCCCCAGCAAUGUGACACUGCAGCCCCUCUCCUCAAGGCACAGUUACUUUCCUUACAUCUUAAAUCUUGUCUGGCCUCAUGACUUGCCUGGAACCAACAGAACAUGGCAGAAUUAAUUAACAGUUAAGGAAUGAAAUAAGAAAUGAGGUCAAAAAAUUCUAAGUGUAGACCUCAAGAGAUCUCCUACGUUUCUACUACCUCUUGGAAUCCUGUGGCCACCAUGUGAACAAGCCCAGACUUGCCUGAUAAAUGAUGAGAGACGUGUGCCUCAGUAACUCUCCAUCAUCCAGCAGAGAGCCAGCCUAUGGCCAGAAAUGUGAGAAGCCACCAUAGACCAGCCAGCUUCCAGCCAACCUGUCAGGUGGCCAGAUAGAAAUGCAAUCCUAGAUGAAAUCAGCUCAGCUGAAUUGAGCCAAAUUUAACCCAGAUGAUCAGAACCAACCAUCUGAUCUACAGAUUCAUAAGUAAUAACAUACACUCAUUUUAAGCCACUGAAGGUUUUGUGGGGCUUUUUGGGGGGGUGGGGGGAGAGCCAUGCACAAAGUAAUAGUUAACUGAAAUUCACGGUAGGCAGAAGAGCUGGGAUUUAAAGCCAGGCAGUCUGACUCCAAGCUCAUCCUCCAAAUCACUACAUUAUUAUGACUUCCAGUUUCAGAGUAGAUAGGACAUGGAAUGCUACUACAGUAUUUUCAUUAGUGAAAAAGAACUCGUUCACACCUACUGUUUUAUAUUCUUUAAAGUUAAUUUUACUCUGCGGCGCAGCAGGUUAAGGAUAUGGCAUUGAUGCAGCAGUGGCGCAGGUCACAGCUGAGCUGCCUCAGCUACAGCUCAGAUUCAAUACCUAGUCAGGGAACUUUUAGGCCACAGGUGCAGCAAAAAAAAGGAAGAAACAGUAAUUUAUAAAAGCCGGAAAAUAGGGAGUUCCCAUCGUGGCGCCGCAGAAACGAAUCUGACUAGGAACCAUAAGGUUGCAGGUUCAAUGUGUGGCCUUGCUAAGUGGUUGAGGAUCCGGUGUUGCCGUGAGCUGUAGUGUAUAGUUCGCGGACGCUGCUGUGGCUGUGGCAUAGGCCAGCAGCUACAGUUCCAAUUAGACUCCUACCCUGGGAAUCUCCAAAUGCCAUGGAUGCAGUCCUAAAAAGACAAAAAGACCAAAAAAGAAAAAAAAAAAAAAAAAAAAAAAAGCUGACAUAGUAAAUGUAACUCUUGCUUCCUCCUUUAAGUAAACAAAAAAAUCCAAAAAGCCUAUCAGAUCUAGAAUCAGAACUCAACUGCUACCAAUCACCUGUCCAUUAUUAAAUACUGGAUGAUAAUUUUUUUUAAAUUACAUGUGCAUUUUUUAUAUAUUUACCCUUCCUCCAAAAUAAAUAUUUUUGUAUAGGUUAUCCUAACUCCCCAAGUAUUGUGAAAUGUACCUAUAUUAACCUGUAUUAACUCAAGCUUAAUUUAUAUCUCACUCAACUGAUUUACUUUGCUUCCAAUUCAUUGACAUAUAUAACAUGCCACAUCAUUUACCCACUGUAUGAAUCUAUGCCCAUACAGUUUCUUUGGCAGUUCUUAGUUUUCACCAACAGAUGCAGUAAUGGUUCCAUUAAAACUGAAAGUUGAGACUGCCACCCAGCCACUUUGGAUUAUUUGUGCCAAUGAAUCGACAGACCAAAAAGGGGGUUACAGAAAUUGACUAGGAUGACUGAUCUUACAGGCAAGGGGCUGUACUACACAAGAGGGGCUAAGAAAAAAUAUGUCUGGAAUGCAAAAGUUCCUCUGGGAGGCCACUUAGUAUUUCCAUGUACUGCGAUUAAAGUCAGUGGAAACUAUCCAGGCAGAACUGCUAAUGACCCAGACCCUUAAGGAAUGAAGAUUUAGGUCACCCUACCAGGCAAGAAACCACAAUCAGCUGAGGUACUGCCAACAACAGAGGGAAUGUGGAAUGACAGCAGAAGGCAAUUAUAGACAGCAACUACAACCAAAUGACUAAUUGCAGAAAUGAAAAUUCUAAUGAGUAUUUCUUCCUUUUAUGACAUAAAAAAGUUAUAUAUAUAUUUACCAAUGUUUUUUCUUUUUCUUCUUUGGCCACCAGCAGCAUAUGGAGUUCCUGGGCCAGGGAUCAGAUCCGAGCUGCAACUGCAACCCAAGCCACAGUUGGGAAGACCAGAUCCUUAACCCACUGGCCAGGCUGGGGAUUGAACCUAUGUCCCCGCAUACCCAAAAUGCCACUGAUCCCGCUGUGCCACAGCAGGAACUCCACCUAUUUAUUUAUUUAUGUAUGUACAUAUGUAUGUAUUCAGUUAUUUUGCUUUUUAGGACGGCACCCAUAGUACAUGGAAGUUUCCAGGCUAGGGGUCGAAUUGCAGCUGCUACCCUACACCACAGCCACAGCAACUUGGGAUCCAAGCCACAUCUGAGACCUACACGACAGCUCACAGCAAUGCCAGAUUCCCAACCCACUGAGCUAGGCCAGGAAUCGAACCUGCAUCCUCUUGGAUACUAGUAGGAUUUGUUUCUGCUGCACCAAAAUGGGAACUCACACACCAAUUUAUUUCUAUCUCCCUUUCUAUAACCAUCUGACAGCAGCUAAUCUCAUAUCAUAUCUCCAUAUUUAAGUUAUAGGAUGUCAAGCAGAAAAUAUGAGUAGGUGCAGGCAAAAAAAAAAAUUAACCCAACUACGGAUAAAGGGAUUUUUUUAUCCUUUCUUAAGGAAUGGGUUUGUAUGUUAUUAGCUGAACAAAGGAUAGCUGCAUUACAUUUACCAUAAGUUCAGUUUUGCAAGUGUCUUUAUUAAAAUCAAAUAUGUUUAAAAGAGGUAUGCACUGGAUUUCUCAUUAUGGCUCCGUGGUAACAAACCCGACUAGUAUCCGUGAGGAGGCAGGUUCAAUCCCUGGCCUCACUCAGUGGGUUAAGGAUCCAGUGUUGCUGUGAGCUGUGGUGUGAGUCAGAGAUGUGGCUCAGAUCCGGUAUUGCUGUGGCUGCGGUAAGCUGGCAGCUGCAGCUCUGAUUCAACCCCUAGCCUGGGAACUUCCAUAUGCCAAAGGUGCAGCCCUAAAAAGCAAGAAAUUUUAAAAAAGAGGUGUGCAUUGGCGCCAUGGUGACAAGGGAUGACCUGUGAUGGCUUUUUAUCCUAGCUGGGUUGCAACUACAUUUUCCCGAAUACCAUUCCCUCCCUGCAUGGUUGUGGGUUAGGUCUGGCCUCAAAAAAAAAAAAAAAAAAAAAAAAAAAAAAAA